Grammomys surdaster is the source of this 314-nucleotide long non-coding RNA. RefSeq lists it as uncharacterized. The record is from RefSeq and is a predicted model, not a curated record. NCBI's taxonomy places the organism in Eukaryota, Metazoa, Chordata, Mammalia, Rodentia, Muridae. The transcript has 3 exons.
GAGGCCAGAGAGAGGGGCAUCAGUACCCGGAGCUGCGCGAGGUCAUGACCAGGAUUACAGCAAAGCCUACUUCUAGGGACCUCCAGACAGACCUGGCGGUAGCCAUGAACUUGACCCCGUGCUCCUCCUCCCGCCUGCAUCGCCCCAGCUCCGGUUGACCUGGCUUGUACCUGUUGGUGGAGAUCUUAGAGAAGAGUGGAGAUAAAAAAUUGAUGAAAUCCGCCACAGCUGGCUGGGUGUGAACCUGGAUUCUCCGGAGGACCCCCACCCCCACCCCAGGAAAGUAAGCGCCUGUCACGUGUAUCAGAAGACCC